Long non-coding RNA from Esox lucius (northern pike), 1542 nucleotides. The record is from Ensembl. Lineage: Eukaryota; Metazoa; Chordata; Actinopteri; Esociformes; Esocidae.
CAGAGAUCAACGCAAGAUUGUUUUCUACACAUUGGUAGAAAUGUUUAAUAAUAGGCAAAUGUUGGUUAAAAAAAAAAUACUAUAGUAUUUGUGUUAGUAUGGGGUUAUGCUGUCACUUCCGGGUGAAGAUGUGCUGCAUUCUCUUAAUGAACAACUCGUGAAAUCUGAUUUUAUAUUGCUGCAUUAUGGUCCUGUGUUUGUUAAAUGUUGAUCUAAAUAAUAUCGAUAUGGUGACAAAAGCAAGCGUUUAUAUGUAAGCAGAUGAGUUUAUCGUUAAUAUAUACAAUUAUAUGACGUGUGUCACGGCUGAGCCGCGAAAAUUAACGAGAACGGCUGUUCUACCAGACGUGAUAUAGCAAUAUAUUUGGUUGCCAAGUGGCUACAAAAUCAGAACUAAAUAGUUAAGUUUUAUCCUGAAUUUGUAUCAUUGCAGCAUGUAUAGUUCUAACACAAUUUGAAUCUAACGUGAAGAACGAUGACAUGUAACCAAUGACAAAGUUAAGAGGCGUGACUUGCUGGAGAAGCCCCGGCUGCGAUGUGAAGACAGUAAUUAAACCCCGCAGCAUCCGCAAAAGAAAGCUGGUGUUUCAAGCGUGGAGUAUAUCGUUUCUGAUGUUGAGCGGAUUUGAACACCGACCGUGUUUGGUAAACACAUUUUUGGACCUCCAAAUCUUGUUCAAGUGACCGGCAUCUGCAUCAGUUGGACUGGGUGGUCAGACUGUGAUCUUACACAACCUGAGCAGAUACUUUGUAUUGAGGACAGCCGGGUGAUGAGACAAAGUACAUUACCACAAUGGGGUCAGUUACGGACACCCGUCCUUGUGGUUGCACAGAGUGAGGGGGUUUUUGUUUUCUUUCAGGCUUGAAAGCUGAAGGUAAUACAGCCAACUCUUCAAAACUGCUGUAUGUAAAUGUAUGUUUGAGUUAGAAUAUUCGAAUCUGAAAAGUGGAUUGUUAUUUACACGUUAAACCAGAGAAAUGGCGAAAGAUAAUGCUAACGACAGUCCAGACACGGAACAGCCAACAACCUCUACAAAUAAUCAAUCGACCAUACCCCAAAAAAACAAAUGAACCAACCGCUACUUUGUUACACAGCGAUGCGCACAAUAAUCCUCAGAUACAAGGCGUGUUAACCGAGCUUAGUAGCCCCCAUUUUUCACACGAUCUAGUUGACACUCCUUCGAGCUCUCUGAUGCAAACUCAAUGCAGUGCUGGCGAUGUUAGAGUUAUACAGCGUAAUGCGUUUGACAAUGUUGAAUUACGACAGUUUAUAAAUUUACAAAAUACUGGUGAAGUUGGUGAUUUUGGCACAUUCUACACAAGUAUUAUGGCAGGCUUGGAUACUUUGAUUGUUAGAGCCUCAGACUUUGUACAAGGGCCCGGUGAUCGUCUGCAGAUUGAGUUGAUUGGUGAAUCUCUGAUAGAUCCCGUACAUGUGACCAUGAGAGCGGAUGAAUAUAAUGAACGCACGUUUGGUAAUUUACUUGAAAGUGUUAUGCAGAGUAAUACGGAGCUUAUGAUUGAUGAAUCACUAGAACUGGU